RNAcentral lists this ribosomal RNA (537 nucleotides) under uncultured bacterium. RNAcentral describes it as "partial 16S ribosomal RNA". It matches the Rfam family "Bacterial small subunit ribosomal RNA", at positions 355 to 902 of the family's 1533-position model. The record is from RNAcentral.
UGGGGAAUAUUGCACAAUGGGCGAAAGCCUGAUGCAGCGACGCCGCGUGAGGGAUGACGGCCUUCGGGUUGUAAACCUCUUUCAGCAGGGAAGAAGCGAAAGUGACGGUACCUGCAGAAGAAGCGCCGGCUAACUACGUGCCAGCAGCCGCGGUAAUACGUAGGGCGCAAGCGUUGUCCGGAAUUAUUGGGCGUAAAGAGCUCGUAGGCGGUUAGUCGCGUCUGCUGUGAAAACUCGAGGCUCAACCUCGGGCUUGCAGUGGGUACGGGCUGACUAGAGUGCGGUAGGGGUGACUGGAAUUCCUGGUGUAGCGGUGGAAUGCGCAGAUAUCAGGAGGAACACCGAUGGCGAAGGCAGGUCACUGGGCCGCAACUGACGCUGAGGAGCGAAAGCAUGGGGAGCGAACAGGAUUAGAUACCCUGGUAGUCCAUGCCGUAAACGUUGGGCACUAGGUGUGGGGUCCAUUCCACGGAUUCCGUGCCGCAGCAAACGCAUUAAGUGCCCCGCCUGGGGAGUACGGCCGCAAGGCUAAAACUU